Molecule: small nuclear RNA, 143 nt
Organism: Lutra lutra (Eurasian river otter)
Lineage: Eukaryota; Metazoa; Chordata; Mammalia; Carnivora; Mustelidae
Product: U4 spliceosomal RNA
Exons: 1
Source: RefSeq, a predicted model, not a curated record
AGCUUUGCGCAGUGGCAGUAUCGUAGCCAAUGAGGUUUAUCCGAGGCGCAAUUAUUGCUAAUUGAAAACUCAAGUUCAACUAGAAUCCUAAACAAUGCAGAGGAGAGGGUGGUGAAGACAAUCCUUAAUGAGUAAGACUUUGA